AAAGACUUAGAGUACUUGGAUCUAACGGAGGACAUGACACAAAACCGAGCGCAAUGGCGUUCUAGGAUUCAUAUAGCCGACCCCACUUAGUGGGAAAAGGCUUUGUUGUUGUUGUUGUCAGACCUUUUGAUAACAGCUAUAACUCUUGGAUUAGUUCCAAGAGACACAACUCUACAUUACAGAAAGUGCAUUACGUUUAACACUUACAUCAUUGACAUGAUCCUAGUUGAUCUAAGGUUCUCACAUAUAUCCUCCUUAGGUUCCUGAGUAAUCAUCUCUAGUUCCUGCUGAAAUCUCUCCAUGGCCGAGAAUGGCAAGCACAUUGGUACCAAUAUUCCAUCCUCAGUGUUGUUUUUGUGUUGAAUGUAGAAGCUAAUCAAAUCCAAGGCCUUGGCGGGUCCAGCAAUUACCGGCCGUCCCCAUCCAAAAUUGACAUCUCCAAAACCUGCACGCGUUGUAUCAGAAACUAUAAAAUAACUUCCUGUCGAUGAAUAUUGAGGUCGCCCUCUUAGUACCAAAAGAUCUGCCACUGAUCUUAAGUAUUCUUCAUUCAUGGUGGCUUUAGCCUUCUUCACCAACUCCAAAGCAUAUCCCAGUGGAUUUUUGCAUAGAGGUUCAGCCUUUGAAACUGCAGCUGGAAAUGCAAAUGCAUUGCCAUAGUAUCCCAAGGGAAGACGUACAUUGUGGUGCUUUCCCCGUGCAUUGACAAUGCAUGAAAUGCGAACAGCCUGUUUUGGAUUAAUUUUAAGUGCAAGAGUGCGACAUUUCCACAAACAAGCUGUGAUCAAGUCAAAUGUGGAGCAAGUGGAAAUUAGGUGGGGUGGAAUCUGUUUUCGAAGGACUCUCAUCUCCUUGGCACCAAAGUAGAAAGAUCGUUGAACCAUGUUUGACUGGUUACUGGAUGUGUAUGAACCAUUAGAAUGGUCAAUCACGUCUUCAUAUUCAUGAUGAACACAUGUAAUUCUUGGUGGAUCUCGAGCAAAUAAGAGCUCUCUCUCCCACACUGGUAGAAUAGAUGGUGCAUGUGCGCCUCUUGCCAUCUCCGCAAUGGCGGUCAGGAACAGGAGCAAUCCAGGUGCAUCGCACAUUGUGUGGUUUAUGCGCAAUGCAAGUAUGAAACCUCCACAUAUAAGACAUGUCACCUGUAUAUUGCAAAAGUUAGUUACUAGACUUUUUUCUUGAUCAUCAUAUUCAUGCUAGUUAACAAUUCUUUAAAAGAAAAGACAAAAAAAAAAAAAAAAAAACACCAUCUAAAUUAGAUGAUCUAAUUAGGAAACAAAAAUUUCAAAAAAAUUAGGAAUAAAAUUCAAGAAAGAUGGAGUCUCUUUGAAAGAGUCUUGUGCAUGUUAUAGUUACUUGAAAGAGUCUUUAAAUAUAGAGGAAUUUAGACAAAACGCUUAUAGAAGAAAAAAUUUAGACAGAAGACAAAGAGGACGACAUGACGACAGGCAAAAGACCUAGAAGAAGAACGGCAAAGAAAACCUACACAAUAAGGGUGAUGUAAGAUUGGUAGAAAACCUAGGACCUAAUUAGGCAGAUACCAUGUAGAAAUAUAAUUUCCUCUAUUCGGUGUGUAUACAAAUUUUACAAUGUAUAGGGUUAAACAUAAGGAUUGUCGAAGAAAAAUUAGUUUCGAAAAAUAAUGAAAAGCGUCUCAUAAUCUUUUCUUUCCAAAACCACCUAAUGACUUUCUUUAAUCAUAAGAACAAAAAGGCGUGGUAGUAUCGUAGAUAAGUUCAAGUUUGGGUGUGGUGGCAAUAUGAUAAAUUUUCGUUUAUGAAAAUGAUUGCCAAUUUUAUGAAAAAAGUUAAAAACAGUUGCGGUGCCACCAAACUUCAACUUAUUUACAAUAUUGUUAGUGCUUUCUUGUUUAUGUCCUUAUUUGUCAUUAAAAAUUUCAUAUGUUGUUGAUUGCACUAAAUUCUUACAAAAAAUCUUCGACGUGUGUAUGCGACCUUAACGCAAAAAACACUACUCAUACCCUUAACCUACUUCAAAGUUUUUGUAAAGAAUUCAUGGUUAUGACCAAAUAUGAAUACGAAAAACUAAUUAACAUAUUAUUAUUCACUCACCUGAACCAGCAGCAAAGGACAACUAAUAAUUCUAUCAGAGCCUGGAAAAUUAUACAAGAACUCCUCUAAGGGUGGACAAUGGGGUAGAAUUUUUUCUCCUAGUUGCUCAAGUGUGACAUCAGCAAAAGCCUCGAUGAACAAGAUACCUUCACCAUUGCAAUCGACCAUGAGCUUUCUGUUAGGCCCUUCCCUAAGCCUUCCAGCUAAAGGGUAGUAAUACACUAAUGCUCUACUUAAGGCUUCCCUGAUCACCUUAACGGGAUUAUGAUGUUUAUUAAGUGAAGGGUUGUCUUUGUAACACAUUAUGAUUGGAACCUGAAAUCUCAAACCUUCUUGGUCGUCCAUAUCUGAGAGAAACUUUGUUUCAUGAGGCGUUGGCUUUGCCGGAGUUAUAAGUUCUGGUUGCAAUCGUUUCACCUGAAUUACUGAGGAUGGCAUCAUUUCAAUAACGAGCUUAAGAACCAACAAAAGAUCAAAGGAUUUGGAACUCUUACUUUGUGGUAUGCAUGCUAACUAGAAGUUGAUAGUCGGUACUUAUAUAGCGUUAUGCAGAUGCUCUAGGGUACCCGAAUCUUCCGUCCAUGUUUCCACCCGUUGUGAAUGUGAUUCUUUUCUUUUCCAUUAAACAUGUUGUUUAGACUUCUUGUUUAUCAAAAGAUCUGAGCGUGCCACUGUUAUCUUUUUGUAUAAUAGAUUGUUGUAUAGGUGUGAAUUACGUCAAUUACUUGUGCUUCAAGUUAUUUAGACUUCUUGUUUAUCAAAGGAUUGUCAUAGAUGCGUUAAGUCUGUAUAAGGUUAUUUUCCUGCCUUGUAAAUAAUGACUUUUACUUAUAACAUUGUAUGUCCAAAAUGAAGGGAGUUCAGGGCUCUUCCAACCAUUUCCUUAAUCAAAGUUUGCUUUAAUGAAAACAAGUUCAUUAACUUAUCCAGAUUUGAUUAUAGAUGAAACUUUUGAGUGGAAAACAGUCGAAAAUGACUUAAAUACAUGAAGAAAAAUGCAUUAAACAACAAAUCUACUAUUUAUAAGUACAAACAAAAGAGAUUCGGGCAACAUUUAACCUUGUCAGGCAAGGUUGAACUUUUGCAACCACUUUACUUUGUGUUUUCAGGGGUUUGUAUACUGUCAGGGAUGAAAAGUAAAUAGGUUUUACUAGAGGGAAUCGAUGUUACAACACUAAGGGAAUGUAGCAGAGCUUCUAAACUCGACAAAAGAUGGCUUUCUAUAAGGGAACUACAGCUAAAAAGGACAAAAUCUGGACAAAUUGCAACUUUCUGGGUACGAACUUGUUUGAGAGCAAAGUUUGUAUGUCUUUUGAUUGAUUGGCUGAGUGUCCUUGUCUCUGGUGUCCCUCUAUACUUUUAUAGACAAUAUGGCCCAACUGUCCAAGCCUUGCCUUUAGCUGAUAGUUCUCGGAGGGCAGUGAGUCAUCACCUAUUUACUCAUCCAUACCCUUGAAAAGUGUUUUUUGGUUAGUGGUGAGGUGCCCUUUGUUGCCCAUCACUUCAAUCAUAGGCAUAUGGCCUAUGCCUAUGUUGAAAUAGCUUCCAAUUCUUCUCAUACCUAUUGGCUUGUCUGAGUCCAGACUUUUCCUUGCUUUUGCAUCUUUGGGCCUCCAUUAUAACAAAGCCCAAAGUCAAAUAUAAACCCAAACACAAGGAACUAACAAAUUACAUGGAACUUUUUAUUUAGAGCCUUGAUGGGCAUAUACAUGCCCUGUUUUUCCUCAGCCUGUUUACUUGCUUGAAAUUUCAUAUGCAAACAUUGCUUUGCUUCCCUCUUUUCAUUUUGGAUUUGACGGCUUGGCUACAUAGACUUUUUUUUGGGCAUGUGACUUUCUUGUUGUUCAAUUUUGUGUGAACAUUGUAAUUUACUUUAUUAUGUUUUCGGUUUGGUAGGUCGCUUAAGCUAUAUACUUGAAUUAGUGAAACUUGCUCGAUGAUGUGAACUUGAAAUACCUAUUAAUCAUAUAAGCAAACCCAAUUUUAACUUGCAAUUUUAACUUGCAAACCCAAUUAAUCAUAGUAAGAGCAAGUAUGAAGUCGUUCCCACGAGUAGGUUUUUACUUUAAUUUGAGUCUCAACUCAAAUUCAACAAACUUUUAAUACAAAUAGGGCUGAAAAUUUUACCUAGAAUGAAAGAGCCAAGGAGAUCUCAAACCCAAAAUCACGAGUAGGUGGGAAGAAUAUUUGAGUGCUUGUAAUUGUUUCUACAUAUGCUUCUACAGUAAUCAAGGAUCCUAUCAUUGUGCGUGAUUAGUUUACUUUUGUGUUCUUGAUCGCAUAUAUAUCAUUUUGCACUCAUUGGUUUGAGGAAAUUAAGGCUCAGACUUCGUGAUAUUUUCAUGGUUCUUUAAGAAAUCCAUUGAAAUCUUACUAAAUUGUCUAACAAAUGAGCAAUUUGAUUCUUACUGUUGGAGGAAAGAUUAGCAGUUUUCAAUUACACUGCAGAAAGGAAGAAUACAAGAGAAUAUAUAUGGAGGAUGACUGGAUGAGUUUUGAAUGGGAACUAAAAUUUACAUAACUUUAUUGCUUUUAGAUUUUUAUUACAACACUUGGCCAUCUUAUUGGCUAUCUAUAUUAACAUUCAGACCUUUAGAUGACAGCCAUAACUCUUGGAUUAGUUUCAAGAGACACAACUCUACAUUACAGAAAGUGCAUUACGUUUAACACUUACAUCAUUGACAUGAUCCUAGUUGAUCUAAGGUUGUUACAUAUAUCCUCCUUAGGUUCCUGAGUAAUCCUCUCUAGUUCCUGCUGAAAUCUCUCCAUGGCCGAGAAUGGCAAGCACAUUGGUACCAAUAUUCCAUCCUCAGUGUUGUUUUUGUGUUGAAUGUAGAAGCUAAUCAAAUCCAUGGCCUUGGCGGGUCCAGCAAAUACUGGCUGUCCCCAUCCAAAAUUGACAUCUCCAACACCUACACGAGUUAGAUCAGAAACUAAAAAAUUACUUCCUGUCGAUGAAUAUUGAGGUCGCCCUCUUAGUACCAAAAGAUCUGCCACUGAUCUUAAGUAUUCUUCAUUCAUGGUAGCUUUAGCCUUCUUCACCAACUCUAAAGCAUAUCCCAGUGGAUUUUUGCAUAGAAGUUCAGCCUUUGAAAUUGCAGCUGGAAAUGCAAAUGCAUUGCCAUAGUAUCCCAAGGGAAGACGUACAUUGUGGUGCUUUCCCCGUGCAUUGACAAUGCAGGAAACUCGAACAGCCUGUUUUGGAUUAACUUUAAGUGCAAGAGUGCGACAUUUCCACAGACAAGCUAUGAUCAAGUCAAAUGUGGAGCAAGUGGAAAUUAGGUGGGGUGGAAUCUAUUUUCGAAGGACUCUCAUCUCCUUGGCACCAAAGUAGAAGGAUCGUUGAACCAUGUUUGACUGGUUACUGGAUGCGUAUGAGCCAUCAGAAUGAUCAAUCACGUCUUCAUAUUCAUGAUGAGCACAUGUAAUUCUUGGUGGAUCUCGGGCAAACAAGAGCUCUCUCUCCCACACUGGUAUAAUAGAUGGUGCAUGUAUUACGCCUCUUGCCAUCUCCGCAACGGCGGUCAGGAACUGGAGAAAUCCAGGUGCAUCACACAUUGUGUGGUUUAGGCGCAAUGCAAGUAUGAAACCUCCACAUUUAAGACGGGUCACCUGCAUAUUGAAAAAGUUAGUUACUAGACUUUUUUCUUGAUCAUCCUAUUCGUGCUAGUUAACAAUUCCUUAGAAGAAAAGACCCAAAAAACUAUCUAAAUUAGAUGAUCUAAUUAGGAAACCAAAAUUUCAUAAAAAUCAGGAAUAAAAUUCAAGAAAGAUGGAAUCUCUUCGAAAGAGUCUCGUGCAUGUUGUAGUUACUUGAAAAAGUCUUUAUAAUACAGAGGAAUUUAGACAAAAUGCUUAUAGAAGAUAGAAAAGCGAAAAACCUAGAAGAAGAACGGCAUAGGAAAACCUAUGCAAUAAAGGUGAUGUGAGACUGAUAGAAAACCUAGGACCUAUUACCAUGUAGAAAUGUAAUUUCCUCGAUUCGGUGUGUACACAAAUUUUAAAAUAUAUAGGGUUAAACAUAAGGAUUGUCGAAGAAAAAUCAGUUUCGAAAAAUAACAAAAAGCGUCUCAUAAUCUUUUCUUUUCAAAACCACCUAAUGAACUUUCUUUAAUCAUAAGAACAAAGAGGCGUGGUAGUAUUGUAGAUAAGUUCAAGUUUGGGUGUAAUGGCAAUAUGAUAAAUUUUCAUUUAUGAAAAAGGUUGCCAAUUUUAUGAAAAAGUUAAAAACAGUUGCGAUGCCACCAAACUUCAACUUAUUUACAAUAUUAUUAGCGUUUUCCUGUUUAUGUCCUUAUUUUCAGUAAAAAUUCAUAUGUUGUUGAUUGCACUAAUUUCUUACAAAAAAUCUCCGGUGUAUGUAUGUGAUCUUAACUCAAAAAAUACUACUCUUACCCUUAACCUACUUCAAUUUUUUUGUAAAGAAUUAAUGGCUAUGACCAAAUAUGAAUACGAAAACCUAAUUAACAUGUUAUUAAUAAUUAAUUGACUCACUUGAACCAGCAGCAAAGGACAACCAAUAAUUCCAUCAGAGCCUGGAAAAUUAAAUAAAAACUCCUCUAAGAGUGGACAAGGGGGUAGAAUUUUGUCUCCUAGUUGCUCAAGUGUGACAUCAGUAGAAGCCUCGACAAACAAGAUACCUUCACCAUUGCAAUCGACCAUGAGCAUUCUGUUAGGCCCUUCCCUUAGCCUACCAGCUAAAGGGUAGUAAUACACUAAUGCUCUACUUAAGGCUUCCCUAAUCACCUUAAUAGGAUUACGAUUUUCAUUAAGUGAAGGGUUGUCUUUGUAACACAUUAUGACUGGAAGCUGAAACCUCAAGCCUUCUUGGUCAUCAAUAUCUGAGAGAAACUUUGUUUCUUGAGGCGUUGACUUUUCCGGAGUUAUAAGUUCCGGCUGCAAUCGUUUCACCUGAAGUACUGAGGGUGGCAUCAUUUCAGUAACGAGCUUAAGAACCAGCAAAAGAUCAAAGGAUUUGGAACUCUUACUUUGUGGUAUGCAUGCUAACUAAAAGUUGAUAGUCAGUACUUAUAUAGCGUUAUGCAUAUGCUAGGGUUCCGAAUCUUGCGUUUAGGGUGCGUUUGGUAUGUGGGACGGGACGGGACGGAACGGGACGAGGCGUUCCGUCCCGCGUUUGGUGCGCCAAAAAUGGGUGGAACGGGCUGUUCCACGGGACAUAUUUUGGGUGUUUUUGCGUCUCACCUCCCCCCUGGAACGGGUUUGUUCCACGUCUGUGGAACACAAUGUUUUACCAUUUUAAGACAAAUAUACCCCAUGUCUUUUUCAAAAAUUACACCUUCGUUCCGUCCCGUCCUGUCCCGUUCCGUCUCGUUCCGUCUCGUCUGCGUACCAAACGCACCCUUAAGUUUCCAUCCGUUGUGAAUGUGAUUCUUUUCUUUUCCAUUAAACAUGUUGUUAAUUUUUAGAAAGAAACGCUUAAAUCACGCAAUCAACAUGGACUGCAAAGACAAACGUGUUGUUGAGAGUUAUGUGCAUGGGACCGUUUCACAGUGCACACCACAGAUUCAUGCAUAUACAUUAAUACUGAAUAUUAUUUCACCAUCAGAAAACUGAAUACUAACAGGAUAUGAGGACAGGUGUGCGGUAGAAAAGCUUUGAUAGGGAUGGAAGUAAAAAGGCCAACAUCGUAGUACGUACCUGCCGCAAUUACAGUUAUCGUUGGACCCGGCUUCUCUGCCUCUCAUUUUUCAUAUAUUUCUAUCUCCUCUUAUUUGUACAGUCACAAUUAAAUCACGUUAACAUUUUAUAUUACUAUUAUUUUUUAUUUUAUUAUAUUUUAAAAAAAAUUAAUAUAAAAUAUUAACGUAGCUUAACCGUGACUGUACAAAAUAGGAAGGAAUAAGAAUGUAUAGAAAGUGGGAGGGUAGAGAAGCCGGAUCCUUAUUGUGAAGCAUCGAACGUCUGCUAUAAAGGAAAACAAUGUUGUUUUAUAAUGUCUGGCAUAUAAGCACGGGAGAAUAUUGUUUCACAUUAUUAUUAAUUUUGACUGAACUGGUGACUACUUAAUUAUGAGUACAGAUUCUUUUCGGAUCUAAAAAAAUUAAGUUUAAGGAUCAAAUCAUUCGAACUGUUGAAAUUUGAUCCAACAGCUACAAAUAAGAGAUCUCUCUAAAAGUUAUAAUAAUUGUAGCCGUUGAAUUAAAUUUCAACAGUUAAGAUCAUUUGAUCAGUAGGCUUAGGGGGUGUAUUCAAUUGGGAUUUUGAGGGAUUUUAAUUCUUUUAAUGAAUCCAGGGGGUAUUCAAUUAGGAUUUUAAGUGAUUCUCUAAAAUUCAAUGUGUAUUCAAUCAGGAUUUUAAGAUAAUUUCUUAAAAUUCUUAGAAACCCUGGUGUAUUCAAUUAGAAUUUUAAAAAAGUUUAUAACAUUCCAGGUGUAUUAUAUUAGAAUUAGAAUUUAAAAAAUUUAGAAAAGUUGAGGAAUUUGAGGGAAUUUGAGAGAUUUUGUAGUGUAUUUUAAGCAUCUACAAAUCUCACCUCUUCCCAUGAGAUUUUAAGGGAAUUGAAUCAAAAUUUUAUAUGGAAUAUCUACAAAUUAGUUAAACUCCAUAAAAAUUCAUGGAUUUAUAAAUCCAUUAAAAUCUAUCAAAUUCCCAAUUGAAUACAUCCCUAGUUUUUUUUUAAAUCUGGAGAGGAUUUGUACUCCUCAAUUAUCUCAUGAUAAAAGUUUGUUAUGAUGAAGAAAGUUGAGGCUCCGUAAAAUUAAUCGAUAAUAUAGGGAGCAGCUUAAUCACUUGUAUGCAUAUGCAAGGUCCUCUUUUAUCUUAUGUGAAAUUCAUACUCCCAAUAUGUAUCUUCAUGUGUGUCAAAUUUUUAAGUUUACCACAUGAAUAACACAAACCAAGUGGCGUGGAGCACGUCAAGUAUUAGACUUCACACAUGAGACAAUUUGGUCUGAUACCAUGACGAAAGUUGAGGUUCCAUCGCCACUUAGUACUACGGUCUAGUGGUAUUCCUCUCCACUUGUAAGUGAUAUUUUAGGUUUAAUUCUCGCCAAAGGCAAAUUUGAACUGCAUUAUUGUUUGUCUAUUGUGAGUAUAAGCUCAUCAUCUUUCCCUCAGUGUAAAUAAUGUCGUUUGUUAAAAAAAAUAGUUGAGAUUGAAUCAUAAAACUAAUUGACAAUAUGAAGAGUAACUCAAUUACUUAUAAGCACAUGUAAGGUCCUUCCUUACCUAAUAUGAGAUCCAUAGUCUCAACAUUUCACUGUUAAGCAAAUAUGUACAAAAACAAAAUGGAACAAAUAAUUCGAUCACUUGACAAAAUAGAACUCAUUGAAGACAAUAUUAUGUUUGUUAAAAUGGAAAUGGAGCUUCGGAUUACACCCAACUUUUAUCUCCUCACCCAACGAACUCUUUUUACUCUACAAGAUUUUAAAAACUUAACAUCUACUCUCCGCACUCACCAAAUCUACCAAAAUUACCCCUUCCAAAUCAUUCUCCAUCUUACACGGUAUAUCUUCUCAUCCAACAACCUCCCCUUCAAUAUUGGGUGGCCGAACCCACUUUCCUCCAUCAUUAUUCAUGAAGCUAUGCACACUCUUAUAAGGAACAUGAAACCAGCAUCUCUUUGCAACUUCUUAUGAAUUAUGUCUUUAUUUGCGUUCAUUUAAGUUGGUGGUUAGCCAUCCAAUUGUUCUUCCCCAUCAAUUUUUAGAAGAAAUCAAACCAAAUUAGACUCGAGUGUUCAUAUAUUCAUUGGAGUUGAAUAUAACAAUAUGUAAAAUUCCAUCGAAGCCAAAUUGUAUCAAGACUUUGUAACAGCAGCAUGAAGGUCAGGAGUCGACUUGGAGGAGAAGAUCGCGAGCGGGUUCAGCUAGCAUUGGUUAACCGAACCCCCGAUUCCAUGUUCAUGGCUAUCAACUAAUCCUCAACUCUUAUGUUCGGUGCUUAAUUUCUGAACACUGAACUUCCUGUCAAAUUUCGUGUUCGGCAUGUUCAAAUACAUGAUUCAAUCUAGUUGUAUUUUAUUGAAGAAAAUAGAAACAAACCCACGAGGAGUUCAGAGAAAAGUGACGGCUUAGGGCAGAACAUUGCAACUUAAACGUCACUUAUAUACUUCAAGGAUUUUUUGUCACAAUACCACCUUACAUCUCAUUUAAAUUAGCUAGCUAACAAAAGCCUUCAAGACCCCAGUUGUUCUAAGCAACUCUAAACCUCACACCAAAGCAAAUCUAUCUCAUCUCUACAUUUGUAAUUUUGGAUUGAGUCGACAUAUUUGGCCGUUACAAAUUCAGAAAAAAGUAAGCCAUUACUUUUGUUUAGUGCAAAAAUUGGAAGCUAGAAAUCAGUAUAGGCAUCAACACUCUCCUUCAUAUUGUUUCUAGUUUUAACACCAGCAAAUCCCUGAGAUAAACAAAACUCUCUUUUAGCGUACCCUUAGUAAAUAUAUCCACAAUUUGAUCCUCGUAUUUGCAAUAGAGUAAUUCAAUCACAUUAUCUGACGUACAAAGGAUCUCUAAUAAAGUGAUGGUUCCUCUUGACAUGUUUUGUUUUUUUUAGUGAAUCAGAGGAUAUCUUGUUAUAGCAAUUGCAAAGGUGUUGUUGAAUUUUAGUGAUAUAGCAUCUACUUUGAAAACAUAGCUGGGUCGAGGAACCCAAACCCAAUAGAUAAAUAAUCUCAACUAAAAUUUCAAAAGAGGAUUCAAGUACGGUUUCAAUCAUACUAUGUAACAGUGAGGAACAAAAUGAAAUAGAGAAAAAAGAACAAAAGACUCACGAUAUAAUUCAUGGGCACACAAACGAUUAAAGAACCAUUGAGAAAUAAGUACUUUUACAAGACUCAACAAGACCGACAUCUACUACACUUGAAGUUUUCUCUUGUACUUUUAAUCUUGUAGCACACAGUCUUUCUUUUGCUCUCUUUUGGAUGAACACGACGCACUUAGCAGGUUCUCCUCACAACUAAAGAGAUUGCACUCAACUUCGUCACAUAGAUGAACACAACUUCUUCACACAAAUGAAUAUGAUGAAUAAUAUGAAAGGUAUGAAGUGUUUCACUAAGAUCACUCUUCUAACCUAGCACUCAAGAACUUUGCUUUAAACCUUUUAUGCUCAAAUCUUAUAACCAAGCAAAGAUGAAUGAUAGGCUUGAUUUCCUAUGAAACCAACAGCCUAGAAUAAAGGAAACUGGAAUUAUGUACUAGAAUACAAUCAAUUUGGGUUUAUUUCUUAAAACUAGGCAAGUAAACUGAUAUUAUAAUCUUCAAGAUAUGCAAUGACGUGAUUCUCGUUUCCUAUAUGAAUGCACAUUGUCAAUGCAAAUUUUCAUCAUCUUCAGUCUUGAUGAAAAUGCAUCUGCAAAACAAUCAACACCUUUGAUCAAAGACCAAAGUCUCACACGCCCACGAGGUGGGGGGGGGGGUUAGGCCAAUGGAUCUCCGAUGCCUAAGUCAGUUUCUCUAAGGAGAAUAAAGUGUUUAGGGCUUUUUUAGGGUAGCAAAAGCUCUGAAAAUUUGGUAGAUUAUGGGGUAUUUAUAGGGAUAGGGCCGGCCAUAGUGUUAGGGUUUUACCAUACACAUGACGGCAUCCUAUUGGCCAAGGUAUUUAUGGAGAAAUAUUCUCAAAAUAUUCUCAAGAUAUUAAAUAGGAGAUAAUAGAGUAAUUAUCCCUAAUUUAUUUAAAUUGGGAUUACUUGAUUAGAGUCAAUCUUCAAUUGGGAAUGUAUUAAAGAUAGGAUUUGGGUAAUUAGUCCUUAUCUUUAAUUCCUUGCCAAGGGCAAGUGAGAUAUGGGCAGUCUAAUUCAGCUGCUGAGACCUUCAGGGGUGUGAGCUAAGCGUGAGAGCAUAUGAGAAGCCUACCCAUUUAUUAAGGGAAAUCUUGUCUUUCUUGAGAAAAAGUUCACGUGUCGCCUUUAGAAUUUUUGAGAUUAUUUUAGGCUCCACAAAUGUCACGCCCCGAUCCCGACAUACGUCCAUGAUCGACACGUGAUGGCACCAAAUAUUUGUAUCUCAACAUACCCUGCCUUCGGGAUAUGGCAAAUCACGACUUGAGAAUCGAAUUGCAUAGUAAUUUUUCAUACACUUUAUAGCUGCAUCUAACCUCUUUGUUAGAUUGCCUAUGUACCCUAAACAAGGAUCAAGCCAUUUGUAGUUCAUCCUUCAGUAUGCUCGAACAAUCAUCACAUAAAUCGUUAUGUCUCAACAAUAUACCACAAUGCAUAAUAUGCAAUAUUUCAAAGAACAAACGACGAAGCACAAUCAUAUUCUCUAAUCAUUUUGCCAUUCACCCACACCUAUGCAUUCCAACAUCAUCCAAUAAUCACCCCAAUCAAUAACACAUACCAUACACCGAAAUGCAGGGCUAGAACGACACAAUUCGGUCGAAGCCUACUUCUCUGAAACUAAUAUCAAAUCCAAGGAACCAACAAGUCAAUGGAUACGAUUUCAAACCAUUACUCAACAGAAUCGCAGAGUACAAGGGAUUACGGACCAUCACUUAACAGAAUCCAAGUGGAUACGAUUCUGGACCAUCACUCAACGGAAUCGCGGAGUAGAAGGGAUUCUGGACCAUCACUCAACGGAAUCCAAGAGGAUACGAUUCUGGACCAUCACUCAACGGAAUCGCAGAGUAUAAGGGAUUCCAGACCAUCACUCAACGGAAUCCAAGUGGAUACGAUUCUGAACCAUCACUCAACAGAAUCGUGGAGUAGAAGGGAUUCCAAACCAUCACUCAACGGAAUCCAAAUGGAUAAGAUUCCAGACCAUCACUCAACAGAAUCGCAGAGGACCAAGGAACAUAUCAACGGCUCAAGCAAACAACUCAUGAAUCAAGUGCUCAAUUUACAAUGGCUCAGCGAAAUGAAACAAAGCACAAGUAUUAAAUUAGAACGGUCAACGAAGCGAGAAAUGAAAUAAUGAAAUGGGAUAUGAAACAAGUUUUGAAGCAACAAACCCCAUGGUAAUGGGUUAACGGCCCACUACUAGCCCUCACUUUCAUCAUAUCAUACCAUCUAUGCAAAUCAACCACAUUUCAAAUAUGCACGUCAAAUCACAUAUCACACUCAUCAUUAGUACACAAGCCAAAUCAUGUUUAAUAAACUUAAGUCUAUGGCUAAAUAUAUAAAAUCACAUUUCAAUAGAAAUCACAUUAUAAAACCAAGUCAUAUUCACAAAUGAUACUAAUAUAAGAAAUCAAGGUAAUAGCCAUAUCACAUAUGUUCAAGUCACUCUCUAACCAAUGUAGACCCACUAGACUUCACUUAAAGUCUCCCGUAGUACUCAUUUUAGUAUUUAGAACUUUUUGAGACAUGUUGACCAAAAGUCUGACUUUGGUUAACAGUAGGGUCCACAAUCCUACAUAAUUCGAUCCGGAAGAUCCGUAUGUUGGAUUUCGGAUCCGUAACUUCUAAAGGUCCAUAUUAUGCUCAUAGAACAACAUAUUAAAUUCUCAUCACGAUUUGACAGUCGAAUCUCCAUCAAUUGCUAGAAUUAGGUGGCGGUCGACAUUUUAUUUUACGAAACUUACAACCCAAAUUCGAAAAGAUCCAUACGUCGGAUUCCCAAUCAGUAAAUUCCUAAUAUCCUCAAAUAUUAUGUUCUAUAAUAUAUUAAAGUUUGAUGAUUAUUCAACAAUCGGAUCGUCAAUUCACAUAAUAAUCAAGUGGCAACCUCUAAUAAAACUAUGUUCAAACGAUGAGAUUUCGUCAUUUGGACUUCACAUAUGAACUUGGGGUAUCAAAUUUAGCCUAAGAAGGUCAAGGGUGCCUCGGCCCACGUGUCGCCGCCACACGCUGCAGCAUACGGUGGCCGACCGUCCCAACUCGCUGAAAAAUUCAACUAAUUCCAAAAAUUACCAAAUUUCACAUAAAUGAAGAUCUCAAUGAUUAAAGCAACUUUUAUACUCAUGGCCAAGUCCAAUUUGGCUUGCACUCUUCGGAACCCUAGAAUGGUUGAGCUUCGAUUCUCCUUCCUCGGUGUUUUGACGCCCCUACAACUAAUUGGGUCUUGUUCCUGGGUCCAAGGGGAGUUGACUAAGAGUGGUGAUGGGUGGUGUAACUCGCUGAAACGGCAGAAUCGCCGUCGAGCACCUCCAGUGCUCUGAUGGAGUUCCUCACGAUUUUGGGCCUAAAAACCCUCAAAUUUCGGUAGACAUGGUAGAGGCGAGGUUAUCGACUAGUUUUCAGGUGUUGGAUUGGUGAAUUUUGCCUGAAAAAUGGUAGAAAUUGGCCAAAAUUAGAAUCAGGUCGAAACCGAUUUUGUCGUGGGUGUGGUCGACGGUAAGAGGAAGGUCCUCCUCCUGAUUAGCUGCCCCCACCUUUCUUCUAAUUGGUCCCUCCCAUUUUUUUCUGAUUGGUACACACUAACUCUUACAUGAUUGGCCUAUUUCCCACAAAGUGAGAAUUAUUUAAUUAAAAACUAUAGUUUAGUAAACGAUUCAAAUGUCCGUAACUAUACUGUUAUAAUCCGGACUCAUAAACGGUUUUCGCCUAUGCUCUCAUGGUUUCAAGAUCUAUUUGAAAACAUUAAUUAUGACCUCGAAAGGUCAACGACCUUUAAAUAAUUAAAAUCCAAACUUCAAACUUCGUAGCUGGUUUAAUUAAAAUCUAAAUUCAAAUAAAUUAAUAUAAAUUCCUGAAAAAUAGUAUAAAAUCUCAAUAAUAUAAACACGUAGAUUAUAACAGUGAAAUCCAGGCACAGGCUGCACGUAGGAAAAUGAUAGUAGGUGUAGAAAUCCCAAACCGCUUGGCUUGUAAAGUUGUUUCCCAAUUUGAACUUGAUCUCCUUUCUAGUUUUGGAGAUAAACCUCUUCUAGGAAAAGAAAACCAAUUGCCCUCAAUACCUAUUUAAUUCUACCUUAAGCAAGGAAUUAAAAAAAUUUGGAGAGCAAUCAUUAUUCCAAUAAGGAAAAGAACCCAAAGGAAAUUUUUCUUCCCCCUCCCCUAGCUUUCUUCUUCUCUUGCCCUUGCAAAGUCAUCUCUCAUUGUUGUUCUUCUUCUCCAUGCCGCACCAAGGUAAGAAAAAUUUGAAUUUUCUUUUGAAUUUUUAUGGGAGUUUUGGGAUUUGAAAAAUUGGCUGAGCAGGGGCCGAGAAGGCGUGAGUGGCGUGGCAAGGAUGCCACAGGACUGCUGGUGAUGCGGUAAGAGGGUCGGCUGGCCUAAGCCAGGGGCUUGGGUUGGCUCGGGCCGGAAGGAUCGGCAUGCUGGGGCGCGAGGAGGCCGGCUUGGGUCGGGUCUUCAAGGCUGCUGAGCACGGGCCCUUGCAGGCGAGAGGAGCGAGGGAGAGAAGGAGAGGCCGGCUCGGGCCAGGCCUCCCGCUAGCAUGCUGGGCUGAGGGCCUUGGGAGGAAACUUUGUGAACUAAUUAAUUAUUUAGGGCUUAACUCAAUAGACACAUUAGGCACAAAGCUAAGCACUGGUCUAAAUUAUUUACUAGCGUAACAUUCAACCACUCAUGCACAACCCAAUGACUGUGUUUCAUCAUGUAACCACAAAAAUACUUUGAAAAUGCAGUUUUCUGUUUAGUAAUGAAACCGCAACAAGCUAUGGUUUCAAAUCCCUUUUGAUCCAAUCAGUCGUUCUUGUUCAAGAUUUGUCAGAGUCUCGAUUGCUAUCGUCACCACUAUACAUGCCUGAAAACACAAACCAACAAUGUAAAAAACCUGCAUAUGAAGGUACGAGGGCUAUAAACUAUAAACGAGCUCAGGGUAUCAUAAUUCAUAUACAUACUUUUGCAGGUUAUAUUGAAAUAGAACUAAAUUCGAUUCCCCCUCCCCAAAUCGCUUGUCUCCGUCUAGUUUGGAGACACACAAGUAUUGUCAUACUUCUUACUGGAACUUACCCAAACAUAGUUGGAGACACGCAAGUAUUGUCAUACUUCUUACUCAAACAUAGGUGGAGAUAUGCAAGUAAUGUCGUAUUUCUCACUCAAACUUGGAGAUAUGCAUUCUGCAGCUGUUUAUAUUAAGUGUUAUAUUUGCUUGUUAGGUCGACAUUUACGAGUCUGAAGAUUAAUUGAUCCAACAAUGUUCCACCAAAAUAGAUGAAUUAGCACAAGCAUCUGAACUCCUUUGAAUCUAUUAAAAGAUGUCUCCUUGUUCUAGCAAUUUAUUAAUAUCCCAUCACGAACAUCCAUCCGAUACUCUACGACUCACAACCUACUUUCUCUCCUCUUUUUUUCUUUCUCAAAUCUAGUACAGGUUGUAAUGAAUGUAAAUUUAUGUAUAGCAUAUGCAGUAAAACAAAACAGCAUAAUCAGACACUUAAAAACACAUAAAACUGAAUUAUCCCACCAGCAGUAAACAGUUUUAAAAAGUAGAACACUCACCUAAGGUUUUCAGUAGAUCAUAUUGCAAGGACAAUUGAUUGCUAAUUUGUUGAAAUGCCAUAACGGCUGCGAAGAGCAUCAAUUUGUUUCUCAAAGGACUGCGAAAGCUCAGCAAUUGAUGUUUUGCAAGCUGAAAAGUAUGAAAUACAACCCAGAGAAAAAGUACUCAGAAUGAAUAACAGUAGUUUAUACAUUGUUGGCUCAAGAUAGAUUGUUAGUUUGUUACCAAGCACUUAUAAAUCUUAUUAAUGACUCCUAGGAGGCAAUUUAUUAUUUGUCACUCUUUUCUUGUUUGUUCAAUCUUCUUUCUCUUCUCCGCAGUUAUACAAUAUCUUGUUUUUGAUCAAUGAUUCGCUUCUUAGAACAAAGGCAACAAGGCAAACAAGAAAACUCAAAAGGGACAAAGCCUAAAACCCCACCUGAACAAGCUCCAGCGUAGGGUCGGGAACUAAUUAAAAGGGAGCAGCGAAGAGAACGAAAAAACAGACACUAAACGGAAAACAAAACAGCUAACAAACUGAAGAACCUAAGUUAGCACACUAAAUAGUUAGCCAUUAUUGUCCCAAUAGUUUUAAUAGCAAUGUGAAACUUAACAGAUAAAGAAAUGUUAUCCAACCUGUAUCACUUCGAACAUGAGAUUAAAAACGAUUUCCACAUAUGGACACAAUAAUCACUUGUCAAACCCUCAAAAUGAACGACGUCUCUCAAAUGUUUUGAUGAUAAUGCAACAUAGAAUGUUGGUUAGUAGAGAUGAUUGAAUCCAGACUCCAUCAGUACGACAUUAUUACCAAGACAUAACUUACAAAAAAUCCACAUAUUUUAAGCAUGUCAGAGAGGUUUUAAACUGAAGACAUACCACGAGAAGCGGUGGUCUGUGCAUCUGCCAUGAACUCUGCAUAUGAAGCCUGAUAAAAAAGCAGUAGGAUGCACUUGAUGAAUAAGCACUACAAACAUACAAUCAGAAGUAAGUAAACGAAACAAAGAAAGACUAGAUUAAUAUACCGCCAUUGCUUCCCGACUUUCAGUAAUCCUUUGGGUCAUCUUCUUGUAUUCCUUAUCUGCUUCAUCCAACACUUGUUGGCAUGCCUGGCUCUGGAUCUGACGGCACAAAGAGACUUAUAAUUAGGUGAAAAAAACGUGCCCUAGACUGAAUUCUAAUGCUCCUCUUCCCUAACUAUUACUACCACUGAGUACUAGUUCAUCAUACAGCAGACAAAACCUUAUUUUAAAUAGACAUUAAGUUUUAAUUAUAAUUAAGAAUUAAUUAGAUUUAAAUUUAUUUUGCUUUAGCAGACCUUGUAACAGUAAUGAGAUUUAAUUAUGAUAUGAAAGUGAGAUUAAAUCAACAUAAUGUUAUUACUUGGCGAAAAUUCAAAUUUCUGUUUUCUCAGGUAUUUUCUCAGCAACCAAACAGACACUAAUCCACCAACUCAGAGUGGGAUCUGUCGACGUGGAGCUUGAUAUCGCGGAGACGAGAGGAGGCGAGGUGCUUGAGAUCAGGAAUCGAAGCUAAAGCGUUACUUUUGGGGGAUUCCAUGAGCGCCGCCACAACAGAGGCUGAGGCUCCUCCUCCGGCAGCGAAGGCCUCCCUCUUGCGCCUGCUGCUGGUAUUGAAAAUUGGCGAUUUCGGUGACGGUUGGUUUGCAGGGGAAGAAACCACUGGAAAUUGUAACCGCGCUUCCAGAAAGUUCGCGGUUAAGCAUCUCCGGGUUCGACUUCCGCUUCCACUUCCGCCGCUUUUCUUCAUCUCUCCGGUCGCUUACUCGUCUUCUUUCAGUUUUCCCUCUCUCGGCUCUGUGUUUUGAAAAUUUCAAAUUUUCUAAGAAAAUGGAGUUGGCCCCCUGACAGGUGUCUAUUUAUAUGUACGGGAUUUUAUAUGCAAAUUUUGGGCUAACAAAAUACAGAAAUAAAAAAUAAUAAUUGUAUCGACCUUCAUUGAAUUUUAUCAUUUCCUUUUGUUGGAUAUUAUUUGCUAACUAAAAGGUGAAGUUGCAAAAUGUACACGUUGCAUUUGACGCAGAGUGAAAUGUACGGAUGAUAUUUAAUGAAACACAUAUUAUAUCUUCAACAAUCUUCAUUAUUAUUUCGGUGCAUCACGGGUAACGUUGGAUUUGGUAUAUCAUUUUAAUAACAGUUAUGGUACUUGAAACACCAUAAUUAUGUGUAGGGGUGGGUUCAAAAAACUGAAAACCGAAAAAAACCGAAAACCAAACCGAACCGAAACCGAAAAAAUCGAACCGAACCGAAUUGAAAAAACCGAACCGAACCGAAUUCUUUUGGUUCGGUUCGGUUUUAGUGAUCUAGAAACCGAACCGAACCGAAUUGAUUAAAUUAAUUUUUUUAUUUAAUUAUUUGUUUUGGGUAUUAUUUUCUAAACCCAAUUUGUAAGUUAAAAUGUGCUAACCCAAUGUGUUGCCAAACUUUAAGCUCAAAAUAUUAAAAAAAUGCCUAUAAAAACUCUAAACCCUAACCUAUUAUUUCUCCCCCAUAUAAGGUUCCGGAACCAAACCUCUUCUCGAAGUACCUACAUCCAUCUCCAUAGCACUGUCUACUUCUGCGCCAGCUUUCUUUUCCAAAUCUACUCUCAUAUAACAUGUAACAUAAUCCAUAAACAUUUAUUUCGGGUAGAUUACUUGGGUAAUUUGUGAUGGAAAAGAAUCCAACACACACUAAAUAAAUCCAUCCACGCAUUACCUUUACUAAUCAAGUUGUCAACAUGCAGUUACAAGCAAACAACACUGAUCUUUGAACAACAUCAUACAAUUUAACUUUUCUAAGUCAUUUGUACGAUUUUUGUGUUGUGAGGUUGUUAGUUUGGACUUUGAAAGACUUGAUUGAUGAUUUUAGUUCAACUUUAAAUGUUUAUUUUCAUUGUUUUUUAUUCUAGUUAGAAUGUUUAUGUUAUGAUUGUGUUGGAUAUGUUAAAAUUUAAAAUUUCAAUGUUUUUCAUUUUUUGAAAAAAAAUAAAAACAAAAAACCGAAACCGAACCGAAAUCGAACCGGAAAAAACCGAACCGAAAAAAAAUUGAACCGAACCGAACCGAACCGAAAUUUCGGUUUGGUUUCGGUUUUGGCAAAAAACCGAACCGAUUUAAACCGAACCCACCCCUAAUUAUGUGUAUUGUGCAGAUUUGGAGGGAACUCAAUUUGUCCGCUCCUUACACCUGAAUUCAAGUUUCUCGUACAUAAGGAAUAUUGCUUUGUCAAAAAGAAAAAUGUGUAGCAAAUUCAAAGAACUAUGGAGCUUUUCAAUUGCAAGAAAGAUUUGGCAAUUCUGAAUUCAAUGUAAUUUCAAGAUCUUUGAAUCAAAUGAUGCAUUAAAACAUGAAUUUUGAAAUGAUGGAAUUAUAAAACUAGAACGCAGAAGUUAUAGGAGACUAGGAGUUGGUGAAAUUUCUUAUUUUUGUAUGUCACCUCCAGGGAAGGACAUGCAAUAUACAUCCCUCCCACAAGUCACAACAUGCAUCCUACAUUUCAAAGUUUCUGCAAAUGUCCUCUCCGGAUCUCUGUGUUCGAGCAAUGCAAUUGUAUACGGUAGCGAGCAGUCAUUGCUUCAACACCAACGUCCUGCAGACUGCAGUAGUCAGUAUACAAUGACUUUGCAUAUAUAUUGAGGACUUACUAAUGUCUUAUGGAACCAACACCCUCCUGAUUAGCACCGUGAAGAUCUGGGAGGUCAGCACUGACGGAGAACUUCAUCCACCUCUUUCUCUCGACGUAAGUGAGACAGGGCUGCAUCACAAGGCCGAUCAAUAUAGCGACAAGGCUCACAACCACGAUCUUAAGUGUCGAAAGAGCCAAAACUACACAAAUCAGUAUGGUUGGAGGAAUACACAUAAGAAUGGCUCCAACUGUUCCAACGGGUAUCUUGUAAGGACGAGAUGUAGCUGGGUACUUCACCCUUAACCGUAUGAAUGAUAUAAACUCCAAAAUAAUUUCAAAACAGUACAACAAGUUUUCUUCAGCUACAAUCUCUUGGAAGCUCAACCAAGAUAACUAAAGGACUCCAGAAGCUGAGAACAAAAUGCCAAUCACUGAGGUUCCAUGACGAGACCGCUUACCAAAAAACUGGGGGAGCAUCCCUUGUUCUGCCAUCCCAAGAAGUUGGAAGGAGUCGCUGCUCAUUUCAGCAACGAACAUCCCCAUAUUCGACACUGCUGCAGCUCCUUGGAUCCACCAUCUCAACCAAACUCCCCCAAUAAUCUUAGCGAUAUCUGAGAAAUAUCCAUUUGUCCACAACUCACGGUCGAGUGGAACAGCCCUAGUACCCAUUAAGAGCGGGAAGAAAUAUCCAAGAACAACUAAUAUCAAAGCAUAAAACAGAGCCUUUGGGAGAGUUUUCUUUGGUUUUUCUACCUCUCCAGCAAGUGUACUUAUCGAGUCCCAAUAGUUGAGAUUCCAGAAGAGAGUGUUGAGAUACAAAUUCCAGUCCACAUUGCGUAGAUUUACAACUAGCCAUCUCGAGGGCUUCACCUUGGAGUCUGCAGGUCCACAAUGUAAAGCUGCACUUCAAGAAGCUACUCGUAUUGUUAGAGCAGUUCCACCGUGGGAAAGGCCCCCCCAGGCAAUACACUAUGUUAUCCACCCAGUGAACAGUAACUGCCCUUAAUGAAUAGUAAUCGCCUUUUGCAUAUCCACCGUUGCACUUCAAUAGCCCUGGCACUAGGUAAUAAACUAUUAGUAUUUUUUUUUAUUUAUAAUUAAUAUUAUAUUACUUAUUUUGUAUAAAUUAAUAUUAUAUUAUUAAUUUAUCUCUUCCUUUUGAAAUGUCUUCCUAGAAACUUCUACCAUUUUUUUUUUGCUGCACUUCCGACACACAGCAGAGCAGCACACCAGUGUUAAAGUAGCAGGUGUGGCAGUCGGCGAAGGUGAGGGAGAGAGAGGGGUUGGACCAGAAGGCAAAGGUGAAGUAGGAGGUGAAGUUGGGGUUGCAGUACUCCGGGGCGGCCAGGACUGCGCCUCUUCCGAGGGGAGUGGCAGAGAGCUUGGCAAUGUCGUCGACGAGGAUGAGGUCGGAGUCGAGGUAGACAACGCGGCGAACGCAGAGGGGGUGAAGUUCGGUGAGGUAGGAUCGAGCAUAGUUGAGGGGGCAGUUGAGGGCGGAGCGGAUGGAGGUGGAGAUGAGGCCAGAGACGUCGCCUAGAAAAGCAAAGGAGAGAUGGCUGAUGUCGCCCAAAUCGAAAAAAAAAUUUAAAAAGGCGUCUGACGUCAGACCCACCUCAGGCGCUCGGGCAGGCACGAAUCCACGGGCCUCUCCCUCGGGCCUGCUCGGGCUCCCUCGCCAGCCAACGCUGAGCUUCCUCCCUCAGGCAAUCAAGCCCUGCUCCGUCCACUGUCCCUCGAGCAACUCAUCCCGCUGGAGCCACUCUUAGUAAAGGCAGUUAGUUAAAGAUAAUUUUCCCAUUUAUCAGUUUAUAUGAUUGUAAUUAAUUGUAUGGUUCUUUAAUUAUUCUUAUUCAUUGUAUUUAGAAAUUGGAAGUAUUCUCUAUACCUUGGAAUAUGAAGGGUCAUUGUACAUCUUUAUAAUGUAUUCUUUUCACUCAAAUCAAUAGAGGAAAAUCAAAAACUUCACACAUAUCAUUGAACAAAGUCUUACAGCUAAUGGAAAAGCAAUAAGGGCGUUGUUUGGUGCAAGCCAGGUUGGAAUUUCACACUUUGCACCCACCAUUUGCAAAUCAUGAGUCCAGUUCCCACCGGUGGGAUAUUAUUUUUUUUUUCACUUGUCACUUGCAUAUUGACCAAGUCUAUGUGCAGCUUGAUAUGAUGGUGACUUCAUGUAUUUUCUGACGGAUGCUGCUGUUAUAGCGGUUAGUUUAUCAAAUUAUUGAUGUUUAUUUGCUUGACACUUUGCAAUUUCAGUAUAGAAAUCCCAAUAGAGUGAGUUGCAGAGGGGCGAGAGAGUGAAUUGCAGAGUUGAGGGAUAUAUAUGAAAGAGAGGGAGAGUAAGUGAGAGAGAUUGAGAGUAUUGUUUGAGAGACAGACAAAUUUUUGGAUGGUGGAAACGGUCCGGGUCGAGGACUCGUUUCCUCAACAAUUAGGACUCGCCCCGCCCCGUCCCGUUUCAAAUUUAAAAAAAAAUUGGACCCGCCUCGAACCGCUUAAACCCGCCCCUACCAGUGGGUCCAUGCCCCGUUUGUCCACCCCUAAUUGUGAUUGUUGUUGGAUAUCAUAUAUUAUUAUUACAAUGUCCAGGAUUUGGGAAUUGUUAUACCUUUAAGGGAGUUUGAGGUUCUGCCGAAAUUUUAGUAUAAUUUGUAGUGUUUGUUUGACUUUUUUUAUUUUUUUCAGCAAAGAAAAAUACCCGCGGACCGUGUCGCUAGUUGAAGAAGGUGAAGGUCACCCAACUGACUAACGGACGUAUCACGAUCGGACACAAUGACUGACAUCAGGCUACACCAACGCUGGAGAAACAUAACGCAUUGGCCCAUGACAUUGGUCACGUCGUUUGGACCUAUUGCCCUAUGCGAUAGAAGUCUUGGAAGGCAAUGUCAAACGAGGUGAGGAUGAAGGUGCGCACUUAUUUGUCGAUAAGUAUCAUGCCUUUUUAUUGCUUUUUCUUUAAAUUUUAUAUAUUUAUAUUACUUAAUGUAUGUAAUUAAUUUGUUACAUUGCAAACGAAUUACAAUUUCGACGACAUCAACGACAAUAUGUUGGCGUACAUCAACAGGCUCUUCACUGAACGGUACAAGCAGUGGAAAAGAGACAUGCAGCAAUAUUUUCAGACAUUUGAUGAUCCGCAAGUCACUCUUGAGGAGGGUUGCCCAAAGGAGUUUGAGGAUCGGGAAAAAAUUGGAUGUGGCUCCGCAAUCAUUUUAUAUUAAACUUGCGGAGUUUGAUCCGCAAGUAUUCUUCAAUUAUAAUUACUAUCUUACGCAUUCAAGUAUCAUGGUUAUUAUUUAAAUGUUAUUAUUAAUAUUUCAUGUUAUAUUAAACUUGCGACGAUGAUGGGGAAGAGGUAAUUGGUUCUUCAGGAGUCUGCCUCCCAGCUUCCUCUCGAGACUCUGCUUGAGUCUGUGGAUCCCCCCCGAGGAUACGAGGUUUCAGAUCCUUACAGACACCUUGGAUCAGACUCUCGGAUGAAGGCUGAGGACGUAUUGUAGGGGGAUGGGGAAUGCUCGACGGCGGGAACCUUGAGCCUUUUCAUCCUCCCAGUCGAAGGGUGAGGUGACAGUUUUGACAGUAGAGGUGGCCGACCUUAGGAUUGAGCUCGCCUUGUAUAAGAGCCAGAUGUCACUAAUUGUACAGGCCCUCAGUAGUUUGGCAUUAGACUCCCAGAUAUUCGUCCCUUGUCAAUGUGCUAGCCCCUCCAACCCAAGCACUCCGCCCCUUCAACCUUAGAACCCCGAGCCCUUCUUGCCCCGAUCUUUCCAUCUACAUGUGAACGACGACCCUGUAGAUUAUUCCACCUUUUUUUUCUUAGUUGUUUAGUCCCUAACUUUUAAAACAUUUUCCUUGUACAUACAUUUUAUUGUUAUUUUAUUUUUAUUUUAAAUAAAUUCGUUACAUUUUUUUAUUUCUAUUUUAUUUUUUUAUUUUAUUAUAAAAUUAAACCCAGAACAAAAAAAUAUAAUUUUAAAAAAAUGUUUUUUUUUUGCGGGACGAAUAGCUUCAUCGUGCAUACUUUUUUGCAAUAACUCACUUUCGUCGCGCAAGAAUAUGUCAUCGCACAAACUUUUUAGACACGAAUAUUAGUCGUCCCAAGUUUGUAUCCUGGCAUUUUGUGCGACGAACAUAUUCGUUCCUAAAACUUUGGUGCGACGAAUGAGGAACCAUCACACCUUAUUUUCCGCGACCAAUGCUUUUGUUCAUUGCGCAAAGUCUUUCUUCAUGAUCUUUGCACGACAGAUUUUGCGCGACGAAGUUUUUGUCUUGCAUACGUUUGUACGAUGCUAUUAAGCUUUGCCCGACCAAUUUAUGUUCGUCGUGCUAAAUGUUAAACGUGGUGGUGAUUGAUUUUUACUUUAAUUUGAGUCUCAACUCAAUUCAAGUUCAACAAACUUUUAACAAAAUAGGGCUGAAAAUUUUAACUAGAAUGAACGAGUCAAGGAGAUCUCAAAACCAUAAAUUACGAGUGGGUGGGAAGAAUAUUUGAGUGGUUGUAAUUGUUGCUCCAUAUGAUCCUACAGUAAGCAAGGCUUCUAUCAUUGUGUGUGAUUAGUUUACUUUUGUGUUCUCGAUCGCUUAUAUAUCAUUGUGCUCUUAUUGGUUUGAGGAAAUAAAGGCUCAAACUUCCUGACAUUUUCAUGAUACUUCAAAAAAUCCAUUGAAAACUUACUAAAUUGUCUAACAUAUGGGCAAUUUGAUUCUUACUGUUGGAGGACAGAUCAGCAAUUUUCAGUUAUACUGCAGAAAGGAAGAAUACAAGAGAAUAUAUAUGGAGGAUGACUUUUGAACGGCGACUGAAAUUUAAUUUUAUUGCUUUCAAUUUUUUAUUACAACACUAGGCCAUCUUAUUAUUGGCUAUUUUUUAAUAACAUUCAGACCUUUUGAUAACAGCUAUAACUCUUGGAUUAGUUCCAAGAGACAUAACUCUACAUUACAGAAACUGCAUUACGUUUAACACUUACAUCAUUGACAUGAUCCUAGUUGAUCUAAGGUUCUUACAUAUAUCCUCCUUAGGUUCCUGAGUAAUCCUCUCUAGUUCCUCCUGAAAUCUCUCCAUGGCCGAGAAUGGCAAACACAUUGGUACCAAUAUUCCAUCCUCAGUGUUGUUUUUGUGUUGAACGUAGAAGCUAAUCAAAUCCAAGGCCUUGGCGGGUCCAGCAAAUACCGGUUGUCCCCAUCCAAAAUUGACAUCUCCAAAACCUGCACGCGUUGUAUCAGAAACUAUAAAAUAACUUCCUGUCGAUGAAUAUUGAGGUCGCCCUCUUAGUACCAAAAGAUCUGCCACUGAUCUUAAGUAUUCUUCAUUCAUGGUAGCUUUAGCCUUCUUCACCAACUCCAAAGCAUAUC
RNAcentral lists this long non-coding RNA (25299 nucleotides) under Malus domestica (apple). RNAcentral's name for it is "long non-coding RNA (MDOM_LNC005460)". The record is from RNAcentral. Lineage: Eukaryota; Viridiplantae; Streptophyta; Magnoliopsida; Rosales; Rosaceae.